RNAcentral lists this ribosomal RNA (503 nucleotides) under uncultured bacterium. Its description in RNAcentral is "partial 16S ribosomal RNA". It matches the Rfam family "Bacterial small subunit ribosomal RNA", at positions 30 to 523 of the family's 1533-position model. The record is from RNAcentral.
AUUGAACGCUGGCGGCAGGCUUAACACAUGCAAGUCGAGCGGGGUGAUGGUGCUUGCACUAUCACUUAGAGGCGGACGGGCGAGCAACGCUUAGGUAUAUGCCUCUUAGUAGGGGACAACAUCCCGAAAGGGAUGCUAAUAACGCAUACGUCCUACGGGAGAAAGCAGGGGAUCAAUAGUGACCUUGCGCUAAUAGAUGAGCUUCAGUCGGAGUAACUAGUUGGUGGGGUAAAGGCCUACCAAGGCGACGAUCUGUAGCAGGUCUGAGAGGUGGAGCCGCCACGCUGGGACUGGGACACGGCCCGGACUCCUACGGGAGGCAGCAGUGGGAAAUAUUGGACAAUGGGGGGAACCCUGAUCCAGCCAUGCCGCGUGUGUGAAGAAGGUCUUAUGGUUGUAAAGCACUUUAAGCGAGGAGGAGGCUCUUUUGGUUAAUACCCAAGAUGAGUGGACGUUACUCGCAGAAUAAGCACCGGCUAACUCUGUGCCAGCAGCCGCAGUAA